UCGUAACAAGGUUUCCGUAGGUGAACCUGCGGAAGGAUCAUUAACGAAUAUCUAUGGCGUUGGUUGUAGCUGGCUCCUAGGAGCAUUUUGUGCACGCCCGUCAUUCAUAUCUUUCCACCUGUGAACUAUGUGUAGGCCUGGAUACCUCUCGCUUUGGCAACAAAGCGGAUGCAAGGAUUGCUGCGUCAACAAGACCAGCUCUCUUUGAAUUUCCAGGUUCUAUGUCUUUUACACACCCCAAUUGAAUGAUGUAGAAUGUAGUCAAUGGGCUUUCAUGCCUAUAAAACACUAUACAACUUUCAGCAACGGAUCUCUUGGCUCUCGCAUCGAUGAAGAACGCAGCGAAAUGCGAUAAGUAAUGUGAAUUGCAGAAUUCAGUGAAUCAUCGAAUCUUUGAACGCACCUUGCGCUCCUUGGUAUUCCGAGGAGCAUGCCUGUUUGAGUGUCAUUAAAUUCUCAACCUCACCAGUUUUGUAACGAGACCGGUGAAGGCUUGGAUGUGGGGGUUUUGCAGGCUGCCUCAGUGCUGGUCUGCUCCCCUGAAAUGCAUUAGCGAGCUCAUACUGAGCUUCCGUCUAUUGGUGUGAUAAUUAUCUAUGCCGUGGAUUGGACUCAUUCUUGCUUCUAACCGUCCGCAAGGACAAAUUACUUGACCAA
This 657-nucleotide ribosomal RNA is filed under the name Psathyrella sp. AX85. RNAcentral describes it as "eukaryotic LSU rRNA". The stretch from base 295 to 448 matches the Rfam family "5.8S ribosomal RNA". Lineage: Eukaryota; Fungi; Basidiomycota; Agaricomycetes; Agaricales; Psathyrellaceae. The record is from RNAcentral.